AUUGUCUGUCCCUAAAUAAUCUACCCCCUCGCCACCGCCAAGUUCGGCUACAUGGUGUAUAUCAAAAGAUAUAGGAGAUUUAUUUGAGAUUAGAGUUGAGUAUAGAGUUCAGUGACAAAAGGCCCCUAUACAAAACCCAAUCUCAAAAUUCAAGACAUUGAGUGAAGAGACCCAAAAACCAUACAGCCCCAUCAGUAUCUAGGCCCAGUGGCCCACAUAUCCACCUGGGGCAAACAUAGAGAACAGCACACCCCCAAGCCUUGCACACCGACCGGAAGAUAAUAGAGACCUCCGAUCAAGAAGAAACAAAGCAAAUCUGCAAGGCUAUCACCACCACUCAUAAGCAAGGCUUCCAGAAAAAUGGCAUUAGGCUUCAAAAAUCAAAACAACAAAAAGCAGGUCCAAGUUUAGAGAUUUGCAGAAAAAGCAAAUAGGUAGAGCUUAAUCGAUGACGCAGCUGGCAUACUCAGGAGCAUGUCGGCUAUACGACCUCUAAGAUAUCCAUCCUCACGGAAUCUCAAGCACCCUUUUCACAGGGCAAUCUCAGAGAAAUAGCCAAGCCAAAUUCAGUCACCUUAGAAAUUGAAGCCACCUGCCCAUAGAAUCAAAGCAGCUACAAUAUACCCUCUUCCCCAAAGCUCAGGCUGCUUGCCCAACAAAAAUUAUUUAUAGCCAUCCCAGCAAUUGGAGAGGUCAGAGGAAAUCGGCCUUCCCCUGUCCCAAGGAGCAGAAGAAGGUUGUCUGUUGCCGUAAAAUGAAGGGUUCAAACCCUAAAUAAAAACAAGAAGAAUAUAACAACGAGAAGA
Molecule: unclassified non-coding RNA, 806 nt
Filed under: Hevea brasiliensis (rubber tree)
Lineage: Eukaryota; Viridiplantae; Streptophyta; Magnoliopsida; Malpighiales; Euphorbiaceae
Source: RNAcentral